This 769-nucleotide ribosomal RNA is filed under the name Limosilactobacillus fermentum. RNAcentral's name for it is "bacterial SSU rRNA". It matches the Rfam family "Bacterial small subunit ribosomal RNA", at positions 271 to 1031 of the family's 1533-position model. The record is from RNAcentral. Lineage: Bacteria; Bacillati; Bacillota; Bacilli; Lactobacillales; Lactobacillaceae.
AGGCGAUGAUGCAUAGCCGAGUUGAGAGACUGAUCGGCCACAAUGGGACUGAGACACGGCCCAUACUCCUACGGGAGGCAGCAGUAGGGAAUCUUCCACAAUGGGCGCAAGCCUGAUGGAGCAACACCGCGUGAGUGAAGAAGGGUUUCGGCUCGUAAAGCUCUGUUGUUAAAGAAGAACACGUAUGAGAGUAACUGUUCAUACGUUGACGGUAUUUAACCAGAAAGUCACGGCUAAAUACGUGCCAGCAGCCGCGGUAAUACGUAGGUGGCAAGCGUUAUCCGGAUUUAUUGGGCGUAAAGAGAGUGCAGGCGGUUUUCUAAGUCUGAUGUGAAAGCCUUCGGCUUAACCGGAGAAGUGCAUCGGAAACUGGAUAACUUGAGUGCAGAAGAGGGUAGUGGAACUCCAUGUGUAGCGGUGGAAUGCGUAGAUAUAUGGAAGAACACCAGUGGCGAAGGCGGCUACCUGGUCUGCAACUGACGCUGAGACUCGAAAGCAUGGGUAGCGAACAGGAUUAGAUACCCUGGUAGUCCAUGCCGUAAACGAUGAGUGCUAGGUGUUGGAGGGUUUCCGCCCUUCAGUGCCGGAGCUAACGCAUUAAGCACUCCGCCUGGGGAGUACGACCGCAAGGUUGAAACUCAAAGGAAUUGACGGGGGCCCGCACAAGCGGUGGAGCAUGUGGUUUAAUUCGAAGCUACGCGAAGAACCUUACCAGGUCUUGACAUCUUGCGCCAACCCUAGAGAUAGGGCGUUUCCUUCGGGAACGCAA